AGUGAACGCUGGCGGUAGGCCUAACACAUGCAAGUCGAACGGCAGCACAGUAAGAGCUUGCUCUUACGGGUGGCGAGUGGCGGACGGGUGAGGCAUACAUCGGAAUCUACUUUUUCGUGGGUGAUAACGUAGGGCAACUUACGCUAAUACCGCAUACGACCUGCGGGUGAAAGCAGUGGAUCUUCGGACCUUGCGCGAUUCAAUUAGCCGAUGUCGGAUUAGCUAGUUGGCGGGGUAAAGGCCCACCAAGGCGACGAUCCGUAGCUGGUCUGAGAGGAUGAUCAGCCACACUGGAACUGAGACACGGUCCAGACUCCUACGGGAGGCAGCAGUGGGGAAUAUUGGACAAUGGGCGCAAGCCUGAUCCAGCCAUACCGCGUGGGUGAAGAAGGCCUUCGGGUUGUAAAGCCCUUUUGUUGGGAAAGAAAAGCAGCAGGUUAAUACCCCGCUGUUCUGACGGUACCCAAAGAAUAAGCACCGGCUAACUUCGUG
Molecule: ribosomal RNA, 492 nt
Filed under: uncultured bacterium
Lineage: Bacteria
Description: partial 16S ribosomal RNA
Rfam family: Bacterial small subunit ribosomal RNA
Source: RNAcentral